GAUGAACGCUGGCGGCGUGCCUAAUACAUGCAAGUCGAGCGAACGGACGAGAAGCUUGCUUCUCUGAUGUUAGCGGCGGACGGGUGAGUAACACGUGGAUAACCUACCUAUAAGACUGGGAUAACUUCGGGAAACCGGAGCUAAUACCGGAUAAUAUUUUGAACCGCAUGGUUCAAAAGUUAAAGACGGUCUUUCUGUCACUUAUAGAUGGAUCCGCGCUGCAUUAGCUAGUUGGGAAGGUAACGGCUUACCAAGGCAACGAUGCAUAGCCGACCUGAGAGGGUGAUCGGCCACACUGGAACUGAGACACGGUCCAGACUCCUACGGGAGGAAGCAGUAGGGAAUCUUCCGCAAUGGGCGAAAGCCUGACGGAGCAACGCCGCGUGAGUGAUGAAGGUCUUAGGAUCGUAAAACUCUGUUAUUAGGGAAGAACAUAUGUGUAAGUAACUGUGCACAUCUUGACGGUACCUAAUCAGAAAGCCACGGCUAACUACGUG
This 497-nucleotide ribosomal RNA is filed under the name uncultured bacterium. RNAcentral describes it as "partial 16S ribosomal RNA". It matches the Rfam family "Bacterial small subunit ribosomal RNA", at positions 28 to 507 of the family's 1533-position model. The record is from RNAcentral.